Molecule: ribosomal RNA, 815 nt
Filed under: uncultured Pseudomonas sp.
Lineage: Bacteria; Pseudomonadati; Pseudomonadota; Gammaproteobacteria; Pseudomonadales; Pseudomonadaceae
Description: bacterial SSU rRNA
Rfam family: Bacterial small subunit ribosomal RNA
Source: RNAcentral
ACGGGUGAGUAAUGUCUGGGAAACUGCCUGAUGGAGGGGGAUAACUACUGGAAACGGUAGCUAAUACCGCAUGACCUCGUAAGAGCAAAGUGGGGGACCUUCGGGCCUCACGCCAUCGGAUGUGCCCAGAUGGGAUUAGCUAGUAGGUGGGGUAAUGGCUCACCUAGGCGACGAUCCCUAGCUGGUCUGAGAGGAUGACCAGCCACACUGGAACUGAGACACGGUCCAGACUCCUACGGGAGGCAGCAGUGGGGAAUAUUGCACAAUGGGCGCAAGCCUGAUGCAGCCAUGCCGCGUGUGUGAAGAAGGUCUUCGGAUUGUAAAGCACUUUAAGUUGGGAGGAAGGGCAGUUACCUAAUACGUGAUUGUUUUGACGUUACCGACAGAAUAAGCACCGGCUAACUCUGUGCCAGCAGCCGCGGUAAUACAGAGGGUGCAAGCGUUAAUCGGAAUUACUGGGCGUAAAGCGCGCGUAGGUGGUUUGUUAAGUUGGAUGUGAAAUCCCCGGGCUCAACCUGGGAACUGCAUUCAAAACUGACUGACUAGAGUAUGGUAGAGGGUGGUGGAAUUUCCUGUGUAGCGGUGAAAUGCGUAGAUAUAGGAAGGAACACCAGUGGCGAAGGCGACCACCUGGACUGAUACUGACACUGAGUGCGAAAGCGUGGGGAGCAAACAGGAUUAGAUACCCUGGUAGUCCACGCCGUAAACGAUGUCAACUAGCCGUUGGGAGCCUUGAGCUCUUAGUGGCGCAGCUAACGCAUUAAGUUGACCGCCUGGGGAGUACGGCGCAAGGUAAAACUCAAUGAAUGACGGGG